GUAACUUUGAGUUUGAGGGGUAUUCAAGCACAAAAUCUCCUUUGUUGAAAACCUCCAGAGCAAGCACACCUCGACCUUAAAAAAAAAAAAAAA
Molecule: long non-coding RNA, 93 nt
Organism: Sebastes umbrosus (honeycomb rockfish)
Lineage: Eukaryota; Metazoa; Chordata; Actinopteri; Perciformes; Sebastidae
Exons: 4
Source: RefSeq, a predicted model, not a curated record